ACAAAUCUAUAUGACCAAAUGCAAAACAAAGCCCACACUCUUUUCAGAUCCAAUUGAAAUUUUAUGGAGGUUAAAAAUGACCUGUCAUAGGAAGUGACUAAGAUGUUCCCUUUUUUAGCCAACAUUUUUUGUCUUAUUUGUUGAUCUAGGGACCCAUCUAAUGUGUGCAUUUAAGGAUGAGAAUGGAUCCAAAUGCUCCAAGGGCCUAAAACUCGAGUUCUCAUGUAUAUGCUUGACAUGAUAAUAACAAUUGCGAUCUGGAUUGUAGGCUUGUAGAAUCUUAUGACCCUAAAUGGUCAAAAAGAUCCAAAUUGUUGUAAAAUUGGUAUAUUAUAGCUGGAUUGUAAGUAGGAUCUUGUAGGAUUGCAGUUAGGAUCUUUGGGUUGGUGAUUUUUCACCUCAUCUUUAUUAUGCAUCAUCCUUGUUGGUAUUUUUACCUUUUUUCAUUGUUAUAAAAGUAUAAUCUUAUGAUUCUUGAUCCGAUACGAUUCAAUCUACUAGACUCUCUCACCAUUCUCAUAUCCUGAUUUAUUAACCAUGAUGCCAGAGUUGCCUUGAACUGAACUAUUAUCCAUGGUCAAGGUAGAUUCCUUCGGUUUUCAUAGUAAAAUUUGUCUCUUUUUUGGGAAAAGAAAUAUAAUGUGCUAUUAGUGCUAUAUAUGAGAGAAGACAAAAUCAAAGCUUAAUGCAAAUUUUAUGUCUCAUGGUGUUGCAAGCCUUAGGCUCAAUAUUCAGUUGCUAGACCCUUAAAGUUUGUGCUUCGUGGCAUUUCCUUGAUCUAUGCCUUGGUUUUUUAUUCAUCUCAUGGAUUAUAAAUCUUCAUCAUGUAGUAUCAUCAAUUCUAUUUUCAUGAUGGUAAAAUGAAGCAUGGCAUAGUAAUCAAUUUAAUAUUUGAAUAAAUGCAUGUGAAAUUUAAAUCUUAUGAAUUUAGGCCUCCAAGGAGUCAUUUCGACAUGUUUAUCUAGCUUCAAUAUGAUGUACACGUUAAUCUUUUUGUAGGUUUCUGAAGGAUCAUUUGUCAAAAAAUCGGCAGUAAGCAUGCUUAGUGGGAAGAAACCUGUUCAGGCUGUUCCUGCUAGUAAGAAAUGAGGGGUUGUAAAAUCGGGUGUCAAUAAGAAAGGAGAUGCUGUUGGACAAUUAAAAACAUCCAAACCAGCUGAACCUGAAGACGUUGAGGAAUGGUGAUUGACACUUUGUUAUUCCUUUUCAUGCAUGUGGGGGACUCCAAAACUUGUGCAGAAAAUGCCUACCAUACAGCUGUGAAAGGAUGGCAAGAAACAGGCAGAUGCGUCCUAUUAGACCAAAAGCUGGUGGUUCUCCAUGAAAACAAUAUCAGUUACUGUGUAAUACAUUGGCAUGAAAUUUUGUUUGUCCUUCUUGAAUGGCUAUGAGAUGUAUUGGUAAGUUGUAUAGGGAAGAGGAUUAAAUCAAAUAAAACUAAGCUGUGUAUCACAACCAGAAUUUACUUGCACCAUAUUUUAUGUAUGUUCUCUUGAAACAAAUACAUUAGAUUUUUUUUUUUUUUUUGGUAUUUGUGUUUGCAGUUUGAAGGCCUAUUUUCCUUUUGUUACUGUACUUGUCAAAGUGCUUUUGAG
This is a non-coding RNA of Camellia sinensis, 1595 nucleotides long. NCBI's taxonomy places the organism in Eukaryota, Viridiplantae, Streptophyta, Magnoliopsida, Ericales, Theaceae. The record is from RefSeq and is a predicted model, not a curated record.